RNAcentral lists this ribosomal RNA (460 nucleotides) under uncultured bacterium. Its description in RNAcentral is "partial 16S ribosomal RNA". It matches the Rfam family "Bacterial small subunit ribosomal RNA", at positions 338 to 795 of the family's 1533-position model. The record is from RNAcentral.
CCUACGGGUGGCAGCAGUGAGGAAUAUUGGUCAAUGGGCGCGAGCCUGAACCAGCCAAGUAGCGUGAAGGAUGACUGCCCUACGGGUGGUAAACUUCUUUUAUAAGGGAAUAGAGUGACGCACGUUUGCUUUGUUGUAUCUACUUUAUGCAUAAGGAUCGGCUAAAUACGUGCCAGCAGCCGCGGUAAUACGGAGGAUCCGAGCGUUAUCCGGAUUUAUUGGGUUUAAAGGGAGCGUAGAUGGGUUGUUAAGUCAGUUGUGAAAGUUUGCGGCUCAACCGUAAAAUUGCAAUUGAUACUGGCAGGCUUGAGUGCAGUUGAGGUAGGCGGAAUUCGUGGUGUAGCGGUGAAAUGCUUAGAUAUCACGAAGAACUCCGAUUGCGAAGGCAGCCUACUAAACUGCAACUGACAUUGAUGCUCGAAAGUGUGGGUAUCAAACAGGAUUAGAUACCCCUGUAGUC